UUAUGUUCAUCUGUUUACAUUUAUUGAGAAAAGAAGACAAAUAUCUAAGAAAAUGAAUGCGUAUCAUUUCCAUCUCUUGUUUCUUGUUUCUUGACAGACCGAAAGGAAAAGGACAGUGAUUCCCAAACCACAGAGAAAUUAAUUACUGUUGAUGAGUAUCAAGCACAACCUCGACAGAGACUCAGAAGAGGCUGAAAAAAUGGAGGAAAACGAAAAAUUGAGAAACGAUGACAAAAAAAGCUACCAAAUCUGUUAAAUGAAGUGAAGAUGGCCCUGAAGUCUCUGUUUGUCAGCAUCAGUCACAUAACUUGGAAGAUGGGACAGGAUUUGCCACAGAGUAAUUACAGAGCCCUUCCAACAGAACAGGAGCAACGUUGCAGAAAGUGUCCUCAUGUGGUGACCGCCAGCAUUGGUACAGCAAUUAAUGCCAAACUUACUGAAAUUAGAGGGAAGAAAACAAAAACAAAUGAAAACCUUAAUGGUCUUUGAUGAUUGAUAGCCGUGACCGUGUGUUCAAGGUAUUUUGUUGUUGUUGUUGGAGUGUGUUUGUGUGUGUGUGUUUUGCCUUCGCAAAGUUCAGUUUUAUAUCAAGUUGUAAUUUUAAAUUACUCUUGUGGAGUAUAAUUUGAUUGUCUUGUUGAUUGUGUUGAAAUAAAAGUAUUUUUAAUGUAAAUUUGUGCAAGUAAUUGUCUGAAAUCAUAUAUGAUUUGUAUAUGCAGAGAUAUUGUAAUAUUUACUGAAAUCAUAAAAGAUAAUUAUAUGUAGAGAUAUGAGGUAUUAGGUGGAAACAUAUAAAGUUUGAAGAACAGACACACAAUUUACCUAUUAAAAACAUAUAUAAUCUGUAUAAAAUUCAUAUGAGCAAAUAAUGCAAAAUUUAAAUGAAUCCUAUAUGAUUCAAUCAAGAAUUUUAAAUGAUUUGUAUAGGAAAUUUACUGAUAUUCAUACACAUUUUCUACUAAAAUCAUAUACUAUUACAUACUGUUGUCAUGUAAAACUCAUAUAAGAAUUUUGCAGUAUUCAUAUAUGACCUAAAAAUCCCAUACAAGUUUUAUGUGUGCUUUUUAGUAUGAAAGUGGCCAUAAUCGGUCUGAUUUUGUAUAUGACAUGUAUUGGACUUAUAUGAAACACAUAAGGAAAUUCUGGCUGAUUUGAGUAAAGAAUAUAUAUGGUUGCUGUAUAUGAAACAUACAGGUUUUUUUC
Long non-coding RNA from Megalobrama amblycephala (Wuchang bream), 1203 nucleotides. RefSeq lists it as uncharacterized. Lineage: Eukaryota; Metazoa; Chordata; Actinopteri; Cypriniformes; Xenocyprididae. The record is from RefSeq and is a predicted model, not a curated record. The transcript is spliced from 3 exons.